CUUUGUAGGUCUUUCUAAAAAAAAAUGCCUAUACUGAUGUCUUAAAGUAUUUCCCCUAUGUUUCCUCCUGCUAGUUUCAUAGUUUUCUGUCUUAUAUUUAGGCUUUUUAAAUGUAGCAGGAGAGAAUUCAAGGAGUGUUCCAAAAGUUGGUAGAGAAUGAAUACUAUGAAAAAAAAAAAAAAACUAUACAUAGAUUUAAAAUUUGGUGUAAAUUUCUUCUGCAAGAAAGUUACAUUUUAAUUAAAAUUUCCCAUGUACUUUCUAAAGUAUAGUCAUAGAUUCGUCAUAAUCAGCGGCUGUGGGGAGCAACUCAGACUAGACUAAGUUACUGGAAUUAAGACUUAUUCUACGCAUCUGCUCUCCCACAAUAUGGCGCUGAGAAAGGGAGCAAACAACUUCCAUGCAGCUGCCUCUUGCCAACAUGACUGAUGAGCUGCAGGAGCUGAUCCUGCUCCUGAUUGGAGGAGAGCAGUGUGCUCGGCGUGUGGGUAGCAGAGUUGGGAUUGGUGGAAGAGGACUAUAAAGGAGGAGAGAGACAACAUGCACCAGGGAACAUCCGGAUAACAUCUGAGCAGCCCCCGAGAGAGCCUGCCGGCCGGCGGUGUGCCACUCCUCCGCGGAAGUGGGGAAAGUGGCAGGGGGAGCCGCCCCUCCACGGAGGUGGAGGGGUCGGCAGCCAACCCGGGAAGGACCAGCAGCAAACCCGGGAAGGGCCGAGCAGACAACAGAACAGCGCAGGGUCUAGUGUUGUUCCUCCGCGAAGAGGGGGAGCGACAAGCGGCUAGUUUGGUGUGUGUUUAAGGAUAGGGAUGUGGUGAUUAUGGAGAUGUUGGGCAAAUGAUGCAAAAUUUCAAUUAGAAUGAAUAAAUUUCAGAGAUCUGUUGGGUGGCACAGUAACGAUAAAAAAAGCACAAUAUUACAGGAUGGUUCGGCAAAGCAGCCUGAGUUAUUUUUGUGGACAGAAUCAGAACACGCUGGCUCCAUAUCGUGAAAUUUUUAUUAAUUUUUUUCUUUUUUCUUUGUUAUUUCCUUACCUCUUCCUUUCUCCAGACUCCGUCCAAGGAGACGCUCUCCCUGGUCUUCCCCAGAUCCAUUUUAUGUCCCUGUAGAGAUAUUGUAGAAUCAAAACCCAAACCAUUUCCUAUUAAUACCUGCCUGUCAGAAUUCUACACUUCCUCUAUCUUAUCACAUGUAAUUACCCUUUAACACAUUGAAUCUAAAGUAAAUUGUAUUCUUUCCCUCUUUAGAGUAAUGAAGCAGCUAUUGUCAUCAUUAUCUGCUAGAAAUAAACAAUAAUUUCUGUUAUUUUGCUCA
Molecule: long non-coding RNA, 1314 nt
Filed under: Oryctolagus cuniculus (rabbit)
Lineage: Eukaryota; Metazoa; Chordata; Mammalia; Lagomorpha; Leporidae
Description: lncRNA (ENSOCUG00000039658.1)
Source: RNAcentral